Molecule: ribosomal RNA, 253 nt
Filed under: uncultured bacterium
Lineage: Bacteria
Description: partial 16S ribosomal RNA
Rfam family: Bacterial small subunit ribosomal RNA
Source: RNAcentral
UACGGAGGGAGCUAGCGUUGUUCGGAAUUACUGGGCGUAAAGCGCACGUAGGCGGCGAUUCAAGUCAGAGGUGAAAGCCCGGGGCUCAACCCCGGAACUGCCUUUGAAACUAGAUCGCUAGAAUCCUGGAGAGGCGAGUGGAAUUCCGAGUGUAGAGGUGAAAUUCGUAGAUAUUCGGAAGAACACCAGUGGCGAAGGCGACUCGCUGGACAGGUAUUGACGCUGAGGUGCGAAAGCGUGGGGAGCAAACAGG